CCUACGGGCGGCAGCAGUGGGGAAUAUUGGGCAAUGGGCGCAAGCCUGACCCAGCAACGCCGCGUGAAGGAUGAAGGCUUUCGGGUUGUAAACUUCUUUUGACAGGGAAGAGCAGAAGACGGUACCCGUCGAAUUAGCCACGGCUAACUACGUGCCAGCAGCCGCGGUAAUACGUAGGUGGCAAGCGUUUUCCGGAUGUACUGGGUGUAAAGGGCGGGUAGCCGGGCUGACAAGUCAGAUGUGAAAUCCGGGGGCUCAACCCCCGAACUGCCUUUGAAACUGUUGGUCUUGAGUGUCGGAGGGGCAGACGGAAUUCCUAGUGUAGCGGUGGAAUGCGUAGAUAUUAGGAGGAACACCAGUGGCGAAGGCGACCUGCUGGACGACAACUGACGGUGAGGCGCGAAAGCGUGGGGAGCAAACAGGAUUAGAUACCCUAGUAGUC
Molecule: ribosomal RNA, 442 nt
Filed under: uncultured bacterium
Lineage: Bacteria
Description: partial 16S ribosomal RNA
Rfam family: Bacterial small subunit ribosomal RNA
Source: RNAcentral